CACGUAGGAGGCAAACGUUAUCCGGAUUUACUGGGCGUAAAGCGCAUGUAGGUGGUUCUGUAAGUAGGGCGUGAAAGCUCCCGGCUCAACUGGGAGAGGCCGUUCUAAACUACAGAGCUAGAGGAUGGUAGAGGGAGGUGGAAUUCCGGGUGUAGCGGUGGAAUGCGCAGAUAUCCGGAGGAACACCAGUGGCGAAAGCGGCCUCCUGGUCCAUUCCUGACACUCAGAUGCGAAAGCUAGGGUAGCAAACGGGAUUAGAUACCCCUGUAGUCCCUGA
Molecule: ribosomal RNA, 277 nt
Filed under: uncultured prokaryote
Description: partial 16S ribosomal RNA
Rfam family: Bacterial small subunit ribosomal RNA
Source: RNAcentral